GUAUCAAGGUUUUUGUUUUUUUUGUGGUUUCUUCCCCAGCUUCUCCAUGGAUGGGACAGUUUGAUCGGAAGGGCAAUGUCCCCAAAGCCCCCAGUUGGGUGAAGGUGGCAGGCAGGAAGUGGGA
Perognathus longimembris pacificus (Pacific pocket mouse) is the source of this 124-nucleotide long non-coding RNA. RefSeq lists it as uncharacterized. The transcript has 3 exons. The record is from RefSeq and is a predicted model, not a curated record. Lineage: Eukaryota; Metazoa; Chordata; Mammalia; Rodentia; Heteromyidae.